CCUCCCUCCACCCGUCUCUCUACAGCUGGCAACGUGAAGCCGAUGAUCCUGAAGAACGUGCAGAUCAACAACAAAGCCCUGGCUCUGGCCCUGCAGGCAGAGAAGGAGAAGGUGACGCAGGCCAACGGUAUCAUCCUGCAGAUGAAGAGGGAACAGCAGGCUCUCUUCCUCCUCCUGCUCAAGAGGCUCAAAGACCAGGAGAUGCAGGCAAGCAAUGUACAGGUAUGAUGCUGCCUGAAUGGCUGACUCAAACUGAGGAACCAAGAAAGUUGUUCCCUUCCCCCUCUCAUGAUAUUUACGUGUGUGUUUAGACUGGACCUGCACAGCUCCCUGCUGAACCACCAAAGCCAGUGGACUCCUCCAGGUGAGCUAUUCAAAUAUAGUAUCAACUGAAUGCAUCUUAUUUCUGACUCGGAGUCAAAGAGCCACUGUUUGAUGUCCAGUUUGAUUCACCCCAUCUACUGUCAGCUUGUGAAUGUAAUCAAUUCCUCCCUGGAGUUUUUAACUUUUCACUUUUGGUAUUUUUGUGCAGGAGAAUUCAAAGUCGUGCUGCUCUGGAAGAUCUUGUAAUGGCCGAAGCCCCACCCUCACCCAUCAGCUCAGGUAUAUGAAAAUUACAUUUAUCAACCACAGUUCCCCUACAGAACCUCUCAUACCGGAAGAGACAGAGGUCCUAGUGGAAAGCCUGGUUCUAAACGACAGAAGAGGCCAGAACCCCAUACAGGAGUGAAGACCGAGAAAGGCAAUCCAAUUGGCUCAGAGGAGUUCCAGCAGCACUCCACCCCAGGGCCACCAGCUAAACCAGCCAAUCAGCAGCAGCAACCCCGGGCACAACCGAAACAGGCCCAGCCACCGCGGCCCAAACCCGAACUGGAGAGGGGCCACAAACCAGACCUCCAAAACGACUGUUGUCACGUGUUUUUUCAAUGUAGAGUUAUUAGCAGUGCUAUAUAGCAGAUUUGGCUGAUUUAGUGGUCUCAAACCAGUGAGCUAACCAACAUUCUUCAUCAACAAUAUGAGCAAUAUGGAGAUAUUGACAAUUAAAAAGUCAGAAGAGUAGAGCCCUGUCCUACAGCUGGGCCCGCUGAGGUCCCUGAGAUAGAACACCAAAUCCCAGAAGUCCCUGGGAGUGUCUUUGUUGACAGACAGUCCUGUUCCAAUGACAGAGCAAGGUCUUGAGGGUCACACAG
Long non-coding RNA from Oncorhynchus tshawytscha (Chinook salmon), 1190 nucleotides. The record is from Ensembl. Lineage: Eukaryota; Metazoa; Chordata; Actinopteri; Salmoniformes; Salmonidae.